UGCACAUGAGCAUCUGCAACCCCAAAAGCUCCACUGAUCACACAAAUUCCUAUGAAAGUUCCGAGUCCUCCUCUACCAGAGGUAGCUAAAUCCAACUAUAAAUAAAACAUAGAGGAGAGAAAUAAUAAUUGACUCAAAUGAUAUGACUUUG
Long non-coding RNA from Hibiscus syriacus, 151 nucleotides. RefSeq lists it as uncharacterized. NCBI's taxonomy places the organism in Eukaryota, Viridiplantae, Streptophyta, Magnoliopsida, Malvales, Malvaceae. The record is from RefSeq and is a predicted model, not a curated record. The transcript has 3 exons.